RNAcentral lists this ribosomal RNA (355 nucleotides) under uncultured bacterium. RNAcentral's name for it is "bacterial SSU rRNA". It matches the Rfam family "Bacterial small subunit ribosomal RNA", at positions 355 to 726 of the family's 1533-position model. The record is from RNAcentral.
UGGGGAAUAUUGGACAAUGGGCGCAAGCCUGAUCCAGCCAUGCCGCGUGGAUGAUGAAGGCCCUAGGGUUGUAAAGUCCUUUCGGCGGGGAAGAUAAUGACGGUACCCGCAGAAGAAGCCCCGGCUAACUUCGUGCCAGCAGCCGCGGUAAUACGAAGGGGGCUAGCGUUGCUCGGAAUCACUGGGCGUAAAGCGCACGUAGGCGGAUUCUUAAGUCGGUGGUGAAAUCCUGGAGCUCAACUCCAGAACUGCCUCCGAUACUGAGAGUCUUCGAGUCCGGGAGAGGUGAGUGGAACUGCGAGUGUAGAGGUGAAAUUCGUAGAUAUUCGCAAGAACACCAGUGGCGAAGGCGGCC